Molecule: RNase P RNA, 380 nt
Filed under: Leucobacter ruminantium
Lineage: Bacteria; Bacillati; Actinomycetota; Actinomycetes; Micrococcales; Microbacteriaceae
Description: Bacterial RNase P class A
Rfam family: Bacterial RNase P class A
About the family: Ribonuclease P (RNase P) is a ubiquitous endoribonuclease, found in archaea, bacteria and eukarya as well as chloroplasts and mitochondria.
Source: Rfam by way of RNAcentral
AUGGGCCGCUGGACGGUCGCGUCGCGGGUCGCUUCGGCGGCGCCGCGCCGAGGAACGUCCGGGCUGCACAGAGGAGGACGGUGGGUAACGCCCACCCGGGGCAACCCGCGAGAAAGUGCAACAGAGAGCAGACCGCCCGCUCCGGUUCGCCGGGCGGGUAAGGGUGAAAGGGUGGUGUAAGAGACCACCGGCGUCCGUGGUGACACGGACGGCCAGGUAAACCUCGUCCGCAGCAAGGCCAGACAGCAGGCGUCGACGCUCCUCGCCGAGUCUGCGGGUAGGCCGCUAGAGGGUACUGGCAACAGUGCCCCGAGAGAGAUGACCGUCACCGAUCGCUUCGCCGAUCGGGACAGAACCCGGCGUACAGGCGGCCCAUUCCC